CAGCGGCCCCCGGGGCUGCCUCAGAUUGUUUCAGAAAGAUUGCUUCAACAACAGAAGAUAGAGAUGGGAAGAGAAUGGUGGGGGACGUGGUAGCAAAGAAGCUAUUCCAAUGAUCCAACCUCAAGAUCAUGCAAAUGUGAACUAAAGCAAUGGCAUCAGGAUGGAGCAGAGAAGAUGGACUGGAGAGAGUUUUAGGAGGUAGAAGUGAUACAACUCUGGUGGUGACUGGCUGUAGGGAAAGAGGUCAAUCAUCC
RNAcentral lists this long non-coding RNA (254 nucleotides) under Pan troglodytes (chimpanzee). Its description in RNAcentral is "long non-coding RNA NONPTRT005360". The record is from RNAcentral. Lineage: Eukaryota; Metazoa; Chordata; Mammalia; Primates; Hominidae.